UAUUUAUUUUUAAAUUUAAACCUAUUAUACGAUAUGUUAUAUACGUAUAUACUCUAUAACCCUAGCAGCCAGAUAGUAUCGUAUUCCCUUAUUCUCACCAUCUCUCAAUUUCUUUUUUUAUUCUCUCUAUUGAACCAAAUCAAUUGUUUUAAUCUUAAGAGCUUCGGGGUUAGCAAUCAACCGAUCAUCGUUCCGUGUCUUCGAAAUCUUCAGGGCCUAGAAGGUAUCGUAAGAGUUAAUUACAGCGGAGUUGAGGUAAGGAAAAAUAAUGAUACUUUAUACUUGCUUUUUAUAUGGUUUGAGUAUCUAGUAUGACUGCUUGAAUAAAUUGUACUGAAAUUGUGGAAUGUGAUAGUUUCGGUGAAAUAGUGUUUUAUCGAUGAAUUGUAUAUGGUUGUUUAAUCAUGUUCCAGGUACUUGGAAGUGGUUGGAAACCACACAUGUAUGGUGAUGUGGUAAGUGAGGCAGUGUACGUAAGGGUGCACUGGUUAUUGGUACUGCGUUCUGGUUAAGAACGUAAGACACUCCAGAUUUGUAUGGAAGCUGGAGUGUGAUUGUGAGUGUGAGUGUGUGGUAUUUCAGUAUUUGUGUGGCUGCCUCUAUUUAUACUUAUGAUUAGGUUGUUGUAUGUUUGAUGUAUAUGUUUGUGCUAUGAUGUGUGAAUGCUGGUACAUAGUAUUGUGUUUUUCCUUACUGGGCUUUGCAGCUCACCCCUUAUUUACCCCCUAUG
This is a long non-coding RNA of Cannabis sativa, 730 nucleotides long. RefSeq lists it as uncharacterized. The record is from RefSeq and is a predicted model, not a curated record. NCBI's taxonomy places the organism in Eukaryota, Viridiplantae, Streptophyta, Magnoliopsida, Rosales, Cannabaceae. The transcript has 2 exons.